GCCCUAACUCAGAGGUAGAGCAUCUGCUUUGCAUGCAGAAGGUCUGAGGUUCAACCCCUAGUAUUUGCAGGUAGGGCU
Molecule: non-coding RNA, 78 nt
Organism: Podarcis lilfordi (Lilford's wall lizard)
Lineage: Eukaryota; Metazoa; Chordata; Lepidosauria; Squamata; Lacertidae
Source: the annotation of a GenBank genome assembly